GACGAACGCUGGCGGCGUGCCUAAUACAUGCAAGUCGAGCGAAUCAAUAGGAGCUUGCUCCUGUUGGUUAGCGGCGGACGGGUGAGUAGCACGUGGGCUACCUGCCUGUAAGACUGGGAUAACUUCGGGAAACCGGAGCUAAUACCGGAUAAUCCUUUUCCACUCAUGUGGGAAAGCUGAAAGUCGGUUUCGGCUGACACUUACAGAUGGGCCCGCGGCGCAUUAGCUAGUUGGUGAGGUAACGGCUCACCAAGGCGACGAUGCGUAGCCCACCUGAGAGGGUGAUCGGCCACACUGGGACUGAGACACGGCCCAGACUCCUACGGGAGGCAGCAGUAGGGAAUCUUCCGCAAUGGACGAAAGUCUGACGGAGCAACGCCGCGUGAGCGAUGAAGGCCUUCGGGUCGUAAAGCUCUGUUGUUAGGGAAGAAUAAGUAUCGGAGUAACUGCCGGUACCUUGACGGUACCUAACCAGAAAGCCACGGCUAACUACGUGCCAGCCGCCGCCGUAA
Molecule: ribosomal RNA, 512 nt
Filed under: uncultured bacterium
Lineage: Bacteria
Description: partial 16S ribosomal RNA
Rfam family: Bacterial small subunit ribosomal RNA
Source: RNAcentral